This 813-nucleotide unclassified non-coding RNA is filed under the name Hevea brasiliensis (rubber tree). Lineage: Eukaryota; Viridiplantae; Streptophyta; Magnoliopsida; Malpighiales; Euphorbiaceae. The record is from RNAcentral.
UUAUAGGGACAAGAUUGUCCAUAAGAGGACAAGAUUGUCCAUGAGAGCACGUGAGAACUACCAGCUGUCUGUUUUAUGCCGGGGCAUGUAAAACGACGUCGUUACAGCAACACUGGUGUGAUCCCUGCAGCUCAGUACGCUGAGAAGCUUACAAGGGCCCUUGCCAAUCGGAGGCUUCUUCACGGUAUCAGAAAGAGGUGGCGGGAACAUCAUAGUCGAAGAAUUCCGGCGAAUCUGCCGGCUUUUUAUAUCUUUUAGCUCCAUCUCUCUAGGAGGCUUCACCACCCCAAACAUAAGCACGUACCACCUUGGCUUGGCCGUCUUUUUAACCAUUUCAUCAACUUUUCCAAUACUUUUCACCGAGGAGUUCCGGUGAAUAUUAUUAUCGGAUUCCCGUGAAGUUCUAGAGGUGGAAAAGCUCUCAAGUUUACGGUAAUCUAGAGAGCGACUAUUUCUCAUCAUGCUUUUAGUAGUAUUGAUACUAUUUGAACGAGAAACAGAGCUAUGCAACCCAGAAAGAGACUCAGAUCGGCGGCAAAAAGAAUUGCGCUGUUUGUCUUGUUGGAGGUGAGAUUUGACGGUUUGGAUUGGUGGGGAGAGUUCUUUAUUUAAGGGUACAAGCUUGCCGCAGAAGAUGAUGUCUUCAGCUGAGCACAUCUCGGAGCUGAGGUCGCUGAAGAACUCGAAGAAUUCAGGUGGCUCCGACGAUGAUCUUCGACUGUGGGUGGACAUGUUUGAUUUCAUCUCCUUACUGUCAUCUUCCAGUGGAAGGUCGCAAAGAGAGAGCGCCUCUUCUUCUUCAUCAUCAUCUUC